UCGAUUGCAAUAAUUUGAUAUAAAUUUAAUAUUAAAAUGAACUUAACAAACUUUCUGUGCACUAAAACUCCUUUUUUUUAAUUCAAAAACGCAAACAAAAAUUAAAAAUUGACGUAUUCUUUUCCACAUCACCCAAUGGGGUAGAAUACUAGAUGCGUUUUUUUUAUAGAGGUUUCCCCAGUAGGCCUAAUCCUCUUUUUAUUUGUUAGUUAUAAAUUACAAAAUAUAUACAUACAUAAUAUACAAAAAAAUAAAUAAUGUUUAAUAAAUAAUAAAAUAUUCUUAUAAAACUAAAUAUAAUUAUAUAGUAAAAUAUGACAUAACACACCGAAUUAAAGAAGAUUUAUAUCACUUGUCACUUAACACUUAUCACUAAAAACUUGUCACUUAGCACUUAUCACUGAACAAAGUUUGACCACAAAUUGAAGUAUAUACUCACUUACAUAAAUAAUCUUUUUUUCGAAUUCCACGAUAUAUUAAAAAAAAAAAAUGGGUGAGAAAAAAAUGUAAACGAUUUCAUACCUAAUUUAGAAAUUUCAAUUCAAUUUUCCAUUCCAUUUGGGAAGCAAAUGACAUAAUAUUUUUAUUCAACUCCAAAAUAUUCAAAUUUCUUUGUAGAUUGAAAUCGUUUUAAAUAUUUUCCUCAGCUAUUUAUGUAGAAAAGAUUCUUCCCUUAACCUGAAAACAUCAAUAUAAAAUAGAAAAGAAAAUUAUCCACCAAAAUAAAGGAAAAGACAAAAAGGUUAAGUAAAUAAAACUGCAAAAGAAGUAAUUAUUUAUUUAAAGAAAAAACAUCGAACCUGAAAAUAAACAAAAGAACAAUUAAAUAAAAUAUAGUAGGUAAAUAAAUUAAUAAACAGAUAAUCCUAUAAAAAAGCAAAUUGAAAAGAAAAUUGUCAUUAAGGAUUUUCUAUCGAAUCUCCUCCUAAGCCAUCGCUCUAGUUUCCAAUAUUUGUUCCUCACCCACUGGAGAAACAAAUUAAAUUUCUGAAAAUAAAAAAAAAAAAACAUAGCAAUCAAAUAUCAAAAAAUAAAAAAUAUUAUUGAAAAAAUUAUAUGUCAAGAUAUUUUCUUACCGAAAAAUGGACUCUACGGUGGAUUCUGACCACCCUAGUCCUGGAAACUAGAACACUUUGGCUAGGAAAAUAUACCACGCCUAUAUUGGGCUGAAGAAAGGAAGAAAAUAAUGAAGAAGUAAGAACAAAAUUUCAAAAUAUAAGAAAUUAUUUAUAUGUCAGCUUACCAGCACAUGUGGUCCAUCCCCAAUCAAUUCGAUGAGUUGGACUGGUUCUUGGACAUUGCUUACGAAAUUAUUUGUCCUCCUAAACCAAUGGCGUGGAUUUGACCACUGCAUGCCGGCAAACUAAUUAAAAAUUUUAAAAUAUUAUAAUUUAUGGUUUUAACAAUCAAUUAAAUUAAAACUUACAUUUCUAAAAAAAGCUCUAUCGGUAA
Molecule: long non-coding RNA, 1452 nt
Organism: Episyrphus balteatus (marmalade hoverfly)
Lineage: Eukaryota; Metazoa; Arthropoda; Insecta; Diptera; Syrphidae
Exons: 2
Source: RefSeq, a predicted model, not a curated record